RNAcentral lists this non-coding RNA (21 nucleotides) under Arabidopsis thaliana (thale cress). The record is from RNAcentral. Lineage: Eukaryota; Viridiplantae; Streptophyta; Magnoliopsida; Brassicales; Brassicaceae.
UCGAGUUUUUCGGGUUUUCAA